UGCAGCAACGCCGCGUGAGGGACGACGGCCUUUCGGGUUGUAAACCUCUUUUAGUAGGGAAGAAGCGAAAGUGACGGUACCUGCAGAAAAAGCACCGGCUAACUACGUGCCAGCAGCCGCGGUAAUACGUAGGGUGCAAGCGUUGUCCGGAAUUAUUGGGCGUAAAGAGCUCGUAGGCGGUCUGUCGCGUCUGCUGUGAAAACCCGAGGCUCAACCUCGGGCCUGCAGUGGGUACGGGCAGACUAGAGUGCGGUAGGGGAGAAUGGAAUUCCUGGUGUAGCGGUGGAAUGCGCAGAUAUCAGGAGGAACACCGAUGGCGAAGGCAGUUCUCUGGGCCGUAACUGACGCUGAGGAGCGAAAGCGUGGGGAGCGAACAGGAUUAGAUACCCUGGUAGUCCACGCCGUAAACGUUGGGCGCUAGAUGUGGGGACCAUUCCACGGUUUCCGUGUCGCAGCUAACGCAUUAAGCGCCCCGCCUGGGGAGUACGGCCGCAAGGCUAAAACUCAAAGGAAUUGACGGGGGCCCGCACAAGCGGCGGAGCAUGCGGAUUAAUUCGAUGCAACGCGAAGAACCUUACCAAGGCUUGACAUAUACGAGAACGCUCUAGAAAUAGAGAACUCUUUGGA
Molecule: ribosomal RNA, 627 nt
Filed under: Leifsonia sp. Ri2Pw_5965
Lineage: Bacteria; Bacillati; Actinomycetota; Actinomycetes; Micrococcales; Microbacteriaceae
Description: bacterial SSU rRNA
Rfam family: Bacterial small subunit ribosomal RNA
Source: RNAcentral